This 30-nucleotide non-coding RNA is filed under the name Callithrix jacchus (white-tufted-ear marmoset). RNAcentral also lists the same sequence under 1 other name. Lineage: Eukaryota; Metazoa; Chordata; Mammalia; Primates; Cebidae. The record is from RNAcentral.
UACCUGAAAAUGUGGAAACGACUUUGGAAC